GUGUGAGCAGAGGAGGGGCAGAGAGAGAGGGAGACACAGAAUCAGAAGCAGGCUCCAGUCUCUGAGCUGUCAGCACAGAGCUCCACGUGGGGCUCAAACUCAUGAAAUAUGAGAUCAUGAUCUGAGCCGAAGUCGGACCCUCAACCGACUGAGCCACCCAGGCGCCCAGGAUCGAAAAAUAUUUUAAUAUGUAGUUUUCAAAUUAGAAAUUGGUGAUUUUAUAAUUUAGAAUUAUAAAAUGUAAGGUAACUAUGUGCCUCUCAGAACAAGAUGAGACCGCAUACAGAGUACAAUUUAGAAUCCCUUUCCAAAACAGUUUCUAUGUGAAUUUCCCCCAAAAGGACCAUGACUGGUCUUGCUUGGCUCACAUGUCCAUUCUCAACCCAUAACUGAACACAAUUAUGUAUUUCCACUUCUGUGGAGGAGGACGUCAUGCCUUUUAAUUGACAGCCUUGCCCCCACUCCCCUCUAACACGUAAAGGCAGUUAUCACAGAGAAGGUAGUGAAUAUCUGCCACAACUCUCAAGAGGCCUAGCAAAAUGGUGGUGUGCUAGAACCUAAAGAGAGAUCUAGCCAAUGAGAAGUUGCCCAUAAUGAGUAUGAUCUAAUUGUAAGAAAAGCGGUAUCGUGGGUUUGAUUUACACUUACCUCCUUUUCUGGGAAAUGAUGUAGAAUGAGAAUUCUAUGCCCCAAAGUGAGUAGAGGCCAAAAUUUUGGUUUGAAAGUAGAGUAUAAUAGAUUUCAGCAUGGAUUGUUUCAAGGACUGGCACGAGAAAAACCCUAAUUGUUCUAGAAUACACCUUGAGUAAGAUGUCCUUGGAUUUGGGGGCAGAUGUUAAAUAUUGUUUUAUGGAUUAAAAUCAUUUAGACAACUGACACAUAUUUUUCUGGCAUUUUAGUGUAUUUGGGGAGAAAGAGAAGACUUAUUUGAACAGUCUUCAACUAUAAGAAUUUACUUCUACCAGUUAUGCCAUGUUCUUCUUGAAAGGAGAUUUAAUGGAUAAAAUGUAUACAUUUUUAGAACUGUAUUUAUUAUACUGCAAUAACUAUCAGUCCAUACCUGAAAUACAAAGUGCUUUUAUAUCUAAAAGUGAGAUGUGCUUUGAUCUAGAACCCUCACAUAUUUUGAGUAUUAUAUUGCUUAUGAAAUUUUGUGUUAAUAUAAUUCUAACUUUCCUCUGUAGUGAGCACAUCUAAGAAGCAAUGAUCAGAAUCCACAGUUACCUGUGGUAAACCGUGGUCCAGAAGGAGAUGAUCCUCUUUGUCAGACGGUCAAUAGUAGCCUAACACCAUGUCACAAUGCCUGCAUCAUUCACUUUGCUUCAUCUCAUCACGUAGGCAUGUUGUCACCUCCCAUCAUCACAAGAAGAAGGGUCCCUGGGAUUUGAAAAAUGCUUCGUUCUCUAUUCAAGAACCAUGAUGACGAUUGUGUUUGUUCUACAGUUUUUUUUUUUUAAUUUGCUGACAAAGUGAAAUAUGGAAUACUGUAUUCGCUUAUUUCAUGUUUGGCUCACAAUGGAUUGAGUUAUAUAAAGUAGGACAUGGACAAAUUGCAAAAACCAGAACAAGCAGGGUCCCUAAUAGUCUUAUAUAACUGCAAACAUUCUACAUCUGCUUUAAUCCAUCAUCUUCUUUGCUCCUCGCAUGAAAUAGUGUGGUUUUUCUCUCUCUGAUUUUUAAGCAAAAGAGAGUUUUCUGGACUGUAAAACUGAAAAACUUUUGAUGGGAAAGUAACUCAAAAAAAAUGCAAAGGGGGAAAUCUCUUCGGGUAUUUCAUUUGUAUGAGUCUAUUAACUCCCAAAGUACACUGCAAGCUGUGAUAAAGCAAAGCUAUUCUAAAUCUUCUUUUGCCUGAACAAGGUGUUUGUGACAAUAUUUCAUUGGCAUGAAAAUAGAGAAGUCAUCCCCAAUGCAUUGAGAUGUGUAAGGAUUUUCACCUAAGUUGGUAAACGAAAGGCUAACAACAAACUAGGCAACAAAGUAAUACUUUUAAUUUUUAAAAAAUGCAGCAACGUGAUUAGCUUAUGUGCCUCUGCAAUGUUUUAGUGUAAUCGCGAAUGUGAUGUUUAUUAGACCGGACUAAAGAAUGCACCGAAUAUCAUGGCUUUUUUUUUCUUUAUUGUAACGAUACUAAUGAAGACAGCUGUUUUUGUCUUGCCUUCUGACAAUAUUUAGAAUUUCUGGUGAAGGGUAGGAAUAAUAAUCCUGAAGUGUCUCAAUGUUUGCAAAAUAUUUGCUACUAAACAUUAUGAAGCCACAGAAAGUGAAAAGGCAAUUAAGAUUCACUAAUGCAACACGUCUUGUUUCAUAUAAGAAAAUCAGACAGCUGAAAGAAAAGGAGUCACCCACUAGAGAGGAUGGGGAAAUUUUACACAUAAAAAUGAAAGCAGUGAUGGUUUAGAAGUGUCUCCAAUAUGUUUUUAUGCAUUAUGGUAUUGAAGAGUCCUUCCAAGUUUGACAAAACUCGAAGUCCUAUUGAAGCUAGAGGAGGGGUGAAUGCUGAUGAUGGGGACAGAAAUAACAGAUUAAACCUUGUCUUGCUUCAUCCCGUGUUCCCUUUUGUGUAAUCUAUAUUGGCAUUUUGUGUCUUCCAGAAGGGUCUCCUGAGCUCCCUAAGGCUCUGCCUGCAACUCCAGAUUGCGGCCUUUUGUAAAUAACGUACAUAAAGAAGGGCUGUUAAACUCUUGUUGAGUUAUUUUUGUUUUGCACUUUGCACCUUCAGUGCAUAUGAGAACUACUCCCACGCCAUUUCCUGACAAACCAGAUCUUGCUGUGAAGGCUGAAAACUUUACUCGGUCGCACCCUAUUUUUAGGACUUGUAAUGAAGAGAAAAUGUGGUGUUAUAACACCCAUCCAAAUGCUGGCGCCCCGGUAGACGACAGCAGCGUUUUAAGAGCUAAUGUAGACAAUUUAUCCAAAAAAGACCAAAUUGUGACCGAUCCUGCAAAUAAACAGACAACAGAUCACUAGGAGUUGGGAUGCGGUCUAGCCAGGGAUUGCAAACGGCCAACUUGGUUCUACUGAAGAUCACAGAUGGCCUAGAACAGCAAAAGCAGUUACCCAGGAACCGGACUUGGAAGGAUGCUAAUUUUAGUAUUAAAAGAGGAGAGUGGAAGUAAAUCCAAAACUCUCUGCUGCUGCUUUGGAAAUCGCAUCUUAAAAUGCCUUCUACUUUCCAAAUAAUAACAGCUAACUUUUAUUGAGUGGUCACUGUAUGCCAGGCAUUUGUCUAUAUGCUUUCCAUAUAUCAGCUCAUGUAAUCCUUAUGACAACCUUCUGAGGGAGGUACUAUUAUGACUAUUAUGACAAGCCAUUGAAAACCUGGCCAAGGUCCCACAGGCAGCCAAUGCAGAAAUCCAGACCCAGGUAGUUCUCUCCACUGCUUGCCUUUCUUCUGACCUUUUUAUUGCCAUGGAGGUCAUUUUCAGAAGCUACCUUUCACUUUCUUGGUAACUUCACGCUCCUUCUUAUCUCUUCUUCACACACUUGCAGGGCGGACAGAUACAGAAGAAAAGGGACAAGCUGGAAUGCGUGCCAGUUACAAAUGUCAAAUGCUGGUGAAAUCCCUACAAAUAGAAGGCCUAUGGUACUUGGUAUUGCAGGGUAUGCUACCGAUGGGCUGCGAACAUGGCUAUUAUCUUGUUGAGUCCAUGCUGGUUAACCUCUCAGCCUCAGCUCUGUAAACUCCGCCACUGGAAACCCUUGGGGUUCUAUAUCUGAUCAGAUUCUGACCUUUUCCUCUCUUUUCUCCCCAUAGAUUUGCUGUAAGUCUAAACAAACUUAAGCUUCAAGGUCCCUAAAUAAACGGGUCCUAAGUCGAUGAGAAGGAGUCUAACAGUGUGUUCACACGAUCAUACAUUUUAGUAAAAUUGGCAAAAGUAGGUAUUUUACUUGCAAUCGGGUAAGACUGCUGUCUCUUGUGUUUACACUUCCCCAGUGGCAUUGAAGUAGAUUCAGGUAUUUUGGGGAUCGUGUUAAGGAAAAGUUGAGCCAGGGAUCCAUGUAAUUUAAGUAGAAUGGAUUCAAAUUACUGGCUUGCAGUCACUCCUACAUGGUUAUUGCUAGCCGUUCAAGGAGAAAUGGCUUCUAGUGAUGUUCAAACCACCAUUUGCACUGGCUCACACAGGGUCAUCAUGAAAAUACAAGGCCAGAGGUCACAUGCCCCUGUGAAUGCGUGCUAUGCCACCCAGCAUGGGAGUGUAUGGCUAGUGGAGAAGAGUGAAUUUUGAAGUGUAUAAAAGCAGAAGCUAGACCAUUCAUUUCCUGAAUGUUGUGAUAUUUGUGGUACUUGUAAGCUAUUUUCAAUUUAUAAUUUAUAAGCCGUUUACGGUUUAUAACUUUUUCUUUUCUAGAUAAAUACCUUCAUGCUAAAGGUUUUAUUCCAACCUUUAUAUACUUUUCCUUAAACAGUCUUCCCCAUACAAAUCGCACAAAUCAAGGCAAAAUAAAAGUUAGCUACGUCUCUGCUCACAGAAGGCUGGUGUGUAAAUCCAGAAAAACAAAUCAUCGAUUUACAACGCUAAAUAUAAAUGCUGAGUGAAGGCUUGCAUUGACCUGUUUAGCAUAUUUUCUUCCUUCUGGGCAGGAGCAAUUCUUCAGAUAUAUUCUUCAAGAUAAAUUCAUUGUUUGUGGAGAACAAGGAAUAAAUGAGCUGAGAGAUUUUCUUUUGAUUUAAAUGUUUGACAGCAGCAAGUUCUGCUGGGUUAAUGCAAUGGUUUUUACAGUGUAGUUCUAGGACCAAGGGCUGGGAAAUGGUUGAAAAAUAAAUUCUCAAGCUUGACUCCAGACCUUCU
Molecule: long non-coding RNA, 4793 nt
Organism: Panthera uncia (snow leopard)
Lineage: Eukaryota; Metazoa; Chordata; Mammalia; Carnivora; Felidae
Exons: 3
Source: RefSeq, a predicted model, not a curated record